RNAcentral lists this long non-coding RNA (1240 nucleotides) under Monodelphis domestica (gray short-tailed opossum). RNAcentral's name for it is "lncRNA (ENSMODG00000050107.1)". Lineage: Eukaryota; Metazoa; Chordata; Mammalia; Didelphimorphia; Didelphidae. The record is from RNAcentral.
CCUAUGGUCAAUGUCACUGCUGUGGCUAAUGAUGUCAUUGUCUUGGUCAAUGUCACUGCUAUGACAAUGCUAUGUUCAAUGAUGUCGCUGCUAUGUUACAGCUUUGAUCAAUGAUGUCAGUGCUAUAUCACUGAUGUGAUCAAUAUUGUCAAUGCUAUGUCACUGUUAUGGUCAAUAAUAUCACUGCUAUGGUCAAUGAUGAUACUGCUAACCUCACUGCUAUGGUCAAUGAUAUCACUGUUAUCGUCAAUGAUGUCAUUUUUCUGAUCAGUAUCAAUGAUGUCACUGCCCUGAUCAAUGAUGUUACUGUUAUGGCCAAAUGUCACUGAGAUGCUCAAUGUCACUGCUAUGGUCAAUGAUGUUGUUGCUUUGAUCAAUGAUAUCACUGCUAUUGUCAAUGGCAGUGCUAUGUUCAAAGAUGUUACUGCUAUGUUGCAGCUUUGGUCAAAGAUGUCAGUGCUAUGUCACAGCUAUGGUUAAUUAUAUCACUACUAUGUCACUGCUAUGUCACUUCUAUGGUCAAUGAUGUCACUGCUAUGGUCAACAUCACUGCUAUGGUCAAUGAUGUCACUGCUAUGGUCAAUGAUGUCACUUCCAUGGUCAAUGAUGUCACUUUUAUGUUGCUGCUUUGGUCAAUUAUGUCAGUGUUAUGUCACUGGUAUGGUUGAUGAUGUCACUUCUAUAGACAAUGUCACUGCUAUUGUCAACGUCACUGCUAUUGUCAAUGUCACUGCUAUUGUCAAUGUCACUGCUAUGGUCAAUGAUAUUGCUGCUUUGGUCAAUGAUAUCACUUCUAUGGUCAAUAAUGUCGCUGCUGUGGUCAACAUCACUGCUAUGAUCAAUGAUAUCAUUUUUCUGGUCAGUGUCAAUGAUGUCACUGUCAUGAUCAAUGCUGUUACAAUUAUAGUCAAAUGUCACAGUGAUGGUCAACAAUGUCAUGUCCAAUGUCAAUGUCAGUGCUAGGGUCAAUGAUGUCACUGUCCUGGUCAAUGUCACUGCUGCAAUCAAUGAUGGCACUGCUAUGGUAAAUGUGAGUGUUAUGGUCAAUGAUGUAACCACUAUGGACAGUGAUGUCUCUGCUAUUGUCAAUGCCAUUGCUAUGGUCAAUGAUGUCAUUUUCCUAGUCAAUGUCACUGCUAUUGUCAAUUUCAGGGCUAUAAUCAAUGAUGUUGCUGUUAUGAUCAAUGUCAUUGCUAUGGUCAAUGAUGUCACUGCUAUGUUCAAAAAAAUAAGAAAGCUA